GUGAGGAAUUUUGCGCAAUGGGGGCAACCCUGACGCAGCGACGCCGCGUGGAGGACGAAGUCUUUCGGGAUGUAAACUCCUGUCAGUGGGGACGAUAAUGACGGUACCCACAGAGGAAGCACCGGCUAACUCCGUGCCAGCAGCCGCGGUAAGACGGAGGGUGCAAGCGUUGUUCGGAAUUACUGGGCGUAAAGCGUAUGUAGGCGGCAAGUUAAGUUCAAUGUUAAAGCCCACGGCUCAACCGAGGAGAUGCAGUGAAUACUGGCUAGCUAGAGGGUGUUAGAGGAAGACGGAAUUCCCAGUGUAGCGGUGAAAUGCGUAGAUAUUGGGAGGAAGAUCGGUAGCGAAAGCGGUCUUCUGGGACAUACCUGACGCUGAGGUACGAAAGCGUGGGGAGCAAACGGGAUUAGAUACCCCGGUAGUCC
Molecule: ribosomal RNA, 425 nt
Filed under: uncultured bacterium
Lineage: Bacteria
Description: partial 16S ribosomal RNA
Rfam family: Bacterial small subunit ribosomal RNA
Source: RNAcentral